This 1436-nucleotide ribosomal RNA is filed under the name uncultured organism. Its description in RNAcentral is "16S ribosomal RNA". It matches the Rfam family "Bacterial small subunit ribosomal RNA". The record is from RNAcentral.
GCGGCGUGCUUAACACAUGCAAGUCGAACGGAAAGGCCCUGCUUUUGUGGGGUGCUCGAGUGGCGAACGGGUGAGUAACACGUGAGUAACCUGCCCUUGACUUUGGGAUAACUUCAGGAAACUGGGGCUAAUACCGGAUAGGAGCUCCUGCUGCAUGGUGGGGGUUGGAAAGUUUCGGCGGUUGGGGAUGGACUCGCGGCUUAUCAGCUUGUUGGUGGGGUAGUGGCUUACCAAGGCUUUGACGGGUAGCCGGCCUGAGAGGGUGACCGGCCACAUUGGGACUGAGAUACGGCCCAGACUCCUACGGGAGGCAGCAGUGGGGAAUAUUGCACAAUGGGCGGAAGCCUGAUGCAGCAACGCCGCGUGCGGGAUGACGGCCUUCGGGUUGUAAACCGCUUUCGCCUGUGACGAAGCGUGAGUGACGGUAAUGGGUAAAGAAGCACCGGCUAACUACGUGCCAGCAGCCGCGGUGAUACGUAGGGUGCGAGCGUUGUCCGGAUUUAUUGGGCGUAAAGGGCUCGUAGGUGGUUGAUCGCGUCGGAAGUGUAAUCUUGGGGCUUAACCCUGAGCGUGCUUUCGAUACGGGUUGACUUGAGGAAGGUAGGGGAGAAUGGAAUUCCCUGGUGGAGCGGUGGAAUGCGCAGAUAUCAGGAGGAACACCAGUGGCGAAGGCGGUUCUCUGGGCCUUUCCUGACGCUGAGGAGCGAAAGCGUGGGGAGCGAACAGGCUUUAGAUACCCCUGGUAACCCCACGCUGUAAACGGUGGGUGCUAGAGGUGGGGUGCAUUCCGCGGGUUCCGUGCGGUAGCUAACGCUUUAAGUACCCCGCCUGGGGAGUACGGCCGCAGGGCUAAAACUCAAAGGAAUUGACGGGGGCCCCGCACAAGCGGCGGAGCAUGCGGAUUAAUUCGAUGCAACGCGUAGAACCUUACCUGGGUUUGACAUGGAUCGGGAGUGCUCAGAGAUGGGUGGUGCCUCUUUUGGGGUCGGUUCACAGGUGGUGCAUGGCUGUCGUCAGCUCGUGUCGUGAGAUGUUGGGUUAAGUCCCGCAACGAGCGCAACCCUUGUUCACUGUUGCCAGCACGUUAUGGUGGGGACUCAGUGGAGACCGCCGGGGUCAACUCGGAGGAAGGUGGGGAUGACGUCAAGUCAUCAUGCCCCUUAUGUCCAGGGCUUCACGCAUGCUACAAUGGCUGGUACAGAGAGUGGCGAGCCUGUGAGGGUGAGCGAAUCUCGGAAAGCCGGUCUCAGUUCGGAUUGGGGUCUGCAACUCGACCUCAUGAAGUCGGAGUCGCUAGUAAUCGCAGAUCAGCAACGCUGCGGUGAAUACGUUCCCGGGGCUUGUACACACCGCCCGUCAAGUCAUGAAAGUUGGUAACACCCGAAGCCGGUGGCCUAACCGUUGUGGGGGAGCCGUCGAAGGUGGGACUGGUGAUU